AUCGCUUCUCGGCCUUUUGGCUAAGAUCAAGUGUAGUAUAAAUGAUAAGGGUCCACUUUAAGAGGAUUCCACUGUUCAGACUUACUACAGUAUAAUCAGGGUUACUGAUAAACAUUUAGAAUGGUUACAGAUUUUUGCUAUCACAAAAAUUGUUGCACUGUUUAUAACUGGCUUUUUCUCUUU
This is a small nuclear RNA of Cebus imitator (Panamanian white-faced capuchin), 183 nucleotides long. RefSeq annotates it as U2 spliceosomal RNA. The transcript has a single exon. NCBI's taxonomy places the organism in Eukaryota, Metazoa, Chordata, Mammalia, Primates, Cebidae. The record is from RefSeq and is a predicted model, not a curated record.